GUUAGGGUGCAAGCGUUAAUCGGAAUUACUGGGCGUAAAGCGUGCGCAGGCGGUUUUGUAAGUCUGUCGUGAAAUCCCCGGGCUCAACCUGGGAAUGGCGAUGGAGACUGCAAGGCUAGAGUUUGGCAGAGGGGGGUAGAAUUCCACGUGUAGCAGUGAAAUGCGUAGAUAUGUGGAGGAACACCGAUGGCGAAGGCAGCCCCCUGGGUCAAAACUGACGCUCAUGCACGAAAGCGUGGGGAGCAAACAGGAUUAGAUACCCUGGUAGUCCACGCCCUAAACGAUGUCUACUAGUUGUCGGGUCUUAAUUGACUUGGUAACGCAGCUAACGCGUGAAGUAGACCGCCUGGGGAGUACGGUCGCAAGAUUA
This 370-nucleotide ribosomal RNA is filed under the name uncultured bacterium. Its description in RNAcentral is "bacterial SSU rRNA". It matches the Rfam family "Bacterial small subunit ribosomal RNA", at positions 526 to 896 of the family's 1533-position model. The record is from RNAcentral.